Molecule: transfer RNA, 63 nt
Filed under: Siphluriscus chinensis
Lineage: Eukaryota; Metazoa; Arthropoda; Insecta; Ephemeroptera; Siphlonuridae
Description: tRNA-Ala
Rfam family: tRNA
About the family: Transfer RNA (tRNA) molecules are approximately 80 nucleotides in length. Their secondary structure includes four short double-helical elements and three loops (D, anti-codon, and T loops). Further hydrogen bonds mediate the characteristic L-shaped molecular structure. tRNAs have two regions of fundamental functional importance: the anti-codon, which is responsible for specific mRNA codon recognition, and the 3' end, to which the tRNAs corresponding amino acid is attached (by aminoacyl-tRNA synthetases). tRNAs cope with the degeneracy of the genetic code in two manners: having more than one tRNA (with a specific anti-codon) for a particular amino acid; and 'wobble' base-pairing, i.e. permitting non-standard base-pairing at the 3rd anti-codon position.
Source: RNAcentral
AGGGCUGUAGUUAAUUAUAACAUUUGGUUUGCACCUAGAAGGUAUUGUACGCAAUCAGUCUUA